CGUCAAGUCCGCAUGGCCCUGACGCCCUGGGCGACACACACGCUACAAUGGCCGGGACAGCGGGCGGCCAAGCGGUAACGCGGAGCCAAUCCCCAAAGCCGGUCUCAGUUCGGAUUGCAGGCUGCAACUCGCCUGCAUGAAGCCGGAGUUGCUAGUAACCGCGCGUCAGCCAUAGUGCGGUGAAUACGUUCCCGGGCCUU
Molecule: ribosomal RNA, 200 nt
Filed under: uncultured organism
Description: partial small subunit ribosomal RNA
Rfam family: Bacterial small subunit ribosomal RNA
Source: RNAcentral